RNAcentral lists this ribosomal RNA (460 nucleotides) under uncultured bacterium. RNAcentral describes it as "bacterial SSU rRNA". It matches the Rfam family "Bacterial small subunit ribosomal RNA", at positions 29 to 524 of the family's 1533-position model. The record is from RNAcentral.
AACGAACGCUGGCGGCAUGCCUAACACAUGCAAGUCGAACGGGAUCCUAGCUUGCUAGGUGAGAGUGGCGGACGGGUGAGUAACACGUGGGAAUCUGCCUUUUGGUUCGGGAUAACCGCGGGAAACUGCGGCUAAUACCGAAUGCCCUCGAGAGAGGAAAGAUUUAUCGCCAGAAGAGGAGCCCGCGUCCGAUUAGGUAGUUGGUGGGGUAAAGGCCUACCAAGCCGACGAUCGGUAGCUGGUCUGAGAGGAUGAUCAGCCACACUGGGACUGAGAUACGGCCCAGACUCCUACGGGAGGCAGCAGUGGGGAAUAUUGGACAAUGGGGGCAACCCUGAUCCAGCAAUGCCGCGUGAGUGAUGAAGGCCUUAGGGUUGUAAAGCUCUUUUGCCAGGGAAGAUGAUGACUGUACCUGGAGAAUAAGCCCCCGGCUAACGUUCGUGCCAGCAGCCGCGGUAAU